This 241-nucleotide ribosomal RNA is filed under the name uncultured bacterium. Its description in RNAcentral is "partial 16S ribosomal RNA". It matches the Rfam family "Bacterial small subunit ribosomal RNA", at positions 524 to 764 of the family's 1533-position model. The record is from RNAcentral.
UACGAAGGGAGCUAGCGUUGUUCGGAAUCACUGGGCGUAAAGCGCACGUAGGCGGAUGUGUCAGUCAGGGGUGAAAUCCCGGAGCUCAACUUCGGAACUGCCUUUGAUACAGCACAUCUGGAGUCCGGAAGAGGUGGGUGGAAUUCCUAGUGUAGAGGUGAAAUUCGUAGAUAUUAGGAAGAACACCGGUGGCGAAGGCGGCCCACUGGUCCGGUACUGACGCUGAGGUGCGAAAGCGUGG